GCUGGAAUGGCCGAGUCGUUAAGGCGAGUGAUUUGAAUUAUCAAACUCAUCAUCACUUGGUGUUUCACCGCGUAGGUUCAAAUCCUGCUUCCAGCG
Non-coding RNA from Phlegmacium glaucopus, 96 nucleotides. NCBI's taxonomy places the organism in Eukaryota, Fungi, Basidiomycota, Agaricomycetes, Agaricales, Cortinariaceae. The record is from the annotation of a GenBank genome assembly.